This 1974-nucleotide long non-coding RNA is filed under the name Triticum aestivum (bread wheat). Its description in RNAcentral is "long non-coding RNA (TAES_LNC002009)". The record is from RNAcentral. Lineage: Eukaryota; Viridiplantae; Streptophyta; Magnoliopsida; Poales; Poaceae.
UGAGCACUCGUAACUCCUUGCUCCCUCCUGAUGAUUCGUGUCAGUGUAGCACUCUUAGCAUUGCUGCCACUCUGUCCCCGUGCUCGUUACCUUGUUGUAGAUCGCCCGCUGGUAACUCAGAGAGGCCCUUUUGGUGCUUCGAAUUGUUUUAGGGUUAUCUCAGAUGAACGUCGGAGCACGUCCAAAUUCCAACAGCGAGAAAUUUGACUGGAAUCUCUCAACAUUUUCAUGCGACUGAUUCGUGACAUCUCCUGCAGUCUCGUGUAGUCGUGUUGGGCCGCCGCUAGUGGUUCUGUUGAUGACUUAACUUAAUGUCUCAUGCAUCAGGAUUCGCCCUGGUUGCAUCAAUUUGGUGAACACGUUAUGGUUUGAGUUCACUACACUUAUGAGAUCAGUAAUUUGGGAAAAGAAACCUAGUAUCAAAUCGGGCGUCCCUGGAAAUAUUUUUGUUGUCAGACCCAAUCGUUUCAUUAAUAUUUAGCAAACUAAUCUAUAAGACUCUUGCAAAAACUAUUUCAAUUAAUACUAGAUUUUGACUGAAAGUCUGAAGCAAACAUUUUUUUAGCAACUGGCAGGAGCUCUCCCUUUUUUCAUAUAAGAACAAGAAGAUAAUUGACCUGUUUAUAAAAGGAAAAUUGGCCAAAAACUAAUACAUACCCACACACACGCCAGCCCCGAGGUUGCGCCCCAAGCAAACUGACUACUUUGCCGCCCAAGCAACUGGAUAUGACACCCUAUCAAACGACCCGGAGCUGCCGCUCUGGCAUACAAACCUCAAGAACACACGCACCGGCCUCGAGGUUGUGUACCAGAUGAGCUGAUGACUCUAUCACCCAGGCAACUAGAGUCGGCACCCUACUACAUGAUUCAGAGCCGCUGCUUUGUCUUCCACACCAACCACGAGGCCGCAUGUAUGAUAGAAGACCAUACCUCUAAGGUGAUGGUAUCGAAAACCGCCAGUGUCCUCAGUAGGGUGGAGAGCGCGGCUGGAUGUACCAGAAGGGAUCACACACGAGGUUUUUACCUAGGUUCGGACCGUCAUGGUUUGAGGUAACACCCUAUCUCUUGCUUUGCUUUUGAUUAAUGGUAAAAACGCCUCAUGUGAGGGGGGUUACAGAUAGGAUGUGGUAAUAGCUACCGAGGUGUUGAUGAUAAGUCAGAUGAUCCUCGAUCUACUUAGCAGUAGGCUUUACAGAUUUUCUAAUCGACCCCGACUCAGAGUUGACCAAAGGAACCUUGGCUUGCAUGCCAAGAUGAUGACUAUCCUCCCAGGUAUAAUGUAUCGUCAGUAGCUCCUCCGAACUUGUCUGAAGUUUUGGAAUCAGUCCUCCUCGAAGACGAAAUACAGGCGGGCUCCUCUUGUGUUAUGUGAUUGGAUCAACCCGGCUUCUGGUUCGCCUACCUUCAAUAGUGGCACUUGCAAAUUUUUGAACAAUUACUUCACACAAGACUUUAUAACACAUUGAGUGUGAUCGAAACGCCACAAUCAAUAUUUUCCUCCGCUCUUUGUUGGGACGAUAACUAUUGGAUAUUCACAUGAAGGUUCUACACAACUUUGUGUGUCUUGUAGGCUGCCAGGGAGGAACCUAAAUAAUAACGACAACAUAAAUACUUUAUAUGAAAAUACCGACAACAUACUAACGAUGUAAUCUCUCAGUAAUUCAUAAAGAACCAAUGCAACUAUAACACAUAAAUAUAAACUUAAUUACGAAAAUGAAAAAUAUCAUAAUAAUAUCUUAUUAUUGUCUCCGGUGCAUAUUUUCAACAAGGAUAGCUUGAUACUUCUAGUAUAUUUUGAAGUAAUAUACUAUGUUUUGCGGAACCCAAGCUUGCCUAUGCCAGUAGCCGAGUGGUCGGAGCACAAACUAAACGACAGUCUCAGCUAAGGUGGAAAGUGGCAGUGAACAAUCCGAAAUAUCCGAUAUUCAUAUUCGAGAAAACGCCUGUAUCAAUCAAAUCAGACAAAAAAAAAAA